GUAGAAGAGAGAAAGCAGUGAACAGAUUCAUCUUCCCUUCUAUAUCUGAAAGGAUAAGCAGGCUGUGCUUUCCAGAGUGGUGCCUGUAUGGUGGGAAGCUGUGAGCCAAAGGGAGAAGACAAAGUGACACAGGUGACAGCCACGAUUUUCUACCCAGAAUGCGUGACCUAUCCAAUCCUUUCUCUCAUGGAAACACCAACUCAUCCAUGCCCUCUGUGCUGAAACUUCGUCUCAGCCUGCUGGAAUCACCUGCACCCCAUGGGAACUGUAGCCAUAUCUUCAGUCCUGUGAGCCCCCGUCAUGGCCUGUCACAGGAGUAAAUGAGGAGUAAGGCCCAGAAUACUCAGUACCUCUCAAUGACCCUCAGACGCUGUAGGAAGAGGAUUGGUUCACCUUUUAACCAAGAAUUUCUCACAUUGAAUGGACAGGAUGCAUUCCAAGAGGCCAGAGUAUUUGCAUCGCAGCUCCUGAUGGUUUCCACCACCACCAUUACUUUCUCUAUGUCAAGAUAACUGGGAAGCCGGAAAGGCCACAUGGAAAGCAGUGCUCCUCUUCUUCACUGGAUGUGAUCAUUUUUGCAUAAGAGAUUACUGAAUCAUCUUGCAAUAACAUAAGACUUGCCUGCCUGCCAAAAUAAGACUUGCUCUGCUAAGGAUGGCAGAGCAGGGAAAGGAGGAAGCACCCAGGUCCUUGACAAGUGUUUAAUUUGCAUUCUUGGAGCCCAGGAACUGUCUUCUACAAACUUUUCUUCCUAGUACCAUGUAAACGUACACAGGAAACGUUCAGAAAACAUCAGCCAAAUAGAAGAAUAAGGAAAUUCCUUCACUGACUAGAUAUUGGUGUUUGAUUCUGUCCUUCUUUGUACUCAUUGGCUAUUUCGGGGUUUCCAUUGCGGAAAACUAUUUGGAAAAUUGCAAGCCACGAGACAAGCCUCUAAGCUACUCCAGGAUCAUUGAGGACUCUCCAUGGGUUCUUAUUGUUAAAGAGUUUAACCCCUCAAGCCACUGCAUUUUUACUAUAUGCCUUGAACUACAAGAUGUGUUAAGAUUUAUAGGAUAAGGUUCUCAUCUCUAAAAACUCAUGGUCUCGGUGGAGAAGCAGUAUUUACACACAUGGAGAAGUUGAGAGUACUUGAAUGUGGAGUAUAAAGCGUGCGAUAUUGACAAGAAGCUCUAUGAAAGUUCAGGAAGAGGAGGAGCAAGUGAGGAUGGAGAUGGACUUUGCAGAAUGGAGGAGAGGCAAAGAAACGGUUAGAAACAAUCUACAUAACGAAAAGUCACUUUUGGGAGUUGUUUUAAGGCAGAGUAUCAUAUCGCAUCAAAACUGCUCCAUAAGUCCUGCCACUCCAUGUGCAAUGCCAUGAACUUGAAGAAAUUGCUGGUUAGAAGAAUCUUGGUCAUCCAGAAAGCUUGCUAUAGCUGCCCAGCAUUUGCCUCCUCCACAAAGAAAGACCAAAAUAACAAGUAGACAAUCACAUGCCAAAUAAAAUGUCUAAAGGAGAGCACUGAAGCUCAGCAAAAACGUUACAAAGACCCUCUGAGGUGCAGAAACUCGGGAUGGCAGCACAAAGAGGAAAGCAAAGCAGCCGGUCAGGAUCAGCUCACAGCCAAGGGUGCCCCGCCUUGAGUAGGAAAGGUUCUUGAAGCGAUUCUAAAUGCUGAUCUGCUGGAAUGAUGGCUUCACUGCACAAGAAUUCUGCUUACUUCAUUGAAGUCUCCUCGAAGAAGUCAGUCUGAGAAUGGGGGAAUUCCAUUGUUGGUCAGAAGAAUUCUUUGGUCACUACUGGAAGUGGGUUCAGUUUAGGGUGACUAUUGAUCAACAGGGUUCAUGGGUUUGCUAAAACUCAUUUCAGGCAAGCUUUGGAAGUGCAGUUCGCUUGGUGCUUAUGGGGUUAAAAACAGGAGAGAGGGAAUUUCACAUUAUUGGAGGGCCUGAAAGGAAACUGAUCCCCACAAGAUGCUCAGACAAGAUCAAACCCAGCCCCUUUUCUGGUUUGGAAUUUCUCUGGGCUAUAAAGGUAGAAGAAAAGGCCCUGCAUGGGCCCACUCUAAGUGCUUGGAGGUUUUAGAUAAUUUUAUUAAAUUGUAGCAAUCUUAAACAGAACUACAAGUUUGCUUUUAAAACCAGAUCUCAGAUUUCUUUGAGCUAACAAAUGGUAAAAUGUAUCUUUAGUAUCAGAGUGAGAUAAAGGUAGUUAUAACUUUUUUUCUUUUUUACUUAUUUUAUGUUAACGUAUGCAAUAAAGGGUACAAAUUGUAGGUACGCAGCUCAUUGAAUUUUUAUGUCUGCACAUGCCCAUGAAACCAACACCCAGAGUAAGAUGCGGAUAAUUUUCUGCUCCCCUGAAAAUUCCCUUGUGCCUUUUCCUCAUCAGUACCUCCAAAGGUAACCACUAUUUUGAUUUCCAUUACCAUAGAUGAGUUAUACUUGUUUUUGAAAAGAUUAUUUGAAAUGUGUAAUAUAAAUAUUAGCAGUUGCUUAUCUUACAGAAAUAUCACUGAGAAUUCAUUUCUUCUCUCCUGCAUUUAUUCAUUUGUUCAAAACACUGUCUAGUACCAACAUUGUCCACCGGGCAUUGAGAAUACAAUAUUAAAGAAGAGUCACUGCCUACCCUCAGGAAAAAUCAGAGUAUUUGAAAGAAUACACACGAGUAAACAGGCAGCUAUGGCAAAGUGGGUAAAAGCUGCAAAACGGGGAAGUUUCGCCAAGUGUCAGAUGCCAAGAAGAAAGGGUGCACGACAUAGACUUGGGGGGGUCAGUAGUGGUUUCUGGAACGAGUGACAUUUAGACUGAAACUGGAAGGAUAUGAGUAAGGGCUAAUCGGACCAAGAUGAAGAGAUACAGAAGCAGAAGAAACAGUAGGAACAAAUGCUCAGAGGCAAAAGAAAGCUUUGAAUAUUUGAGGGACUGAAAAGCAAAACAACAAAAAAUAGCCAUCCCUUGACUAGACAAGUGACCUGGGGUCAGAUCCUGAAGGGCUUUGCAGAUCACUUUUCUGCUUGUAGACUUUGUACUUGGCUUUAAGGGCCAUGGAGAGCCACUGAAGCAUUUUCAGCAAGGGACUGUCAUCAUCAGAUUGGUACUUGUUUUGAAGUAGCACAUGUAAGAGAAAAUAACAAUAUGGACAAAUAAAGAGUUUGAAAAACAACUUUGCUUUGAUACUUUAGGAUGAAAUAUCUGAGAAAGCAGCGCCCCCCCCCCCCAUCAGCCAUUUUUAAUGACACUACUAUUUGAGCACAAGUUGCAAGAAAAUUUGCAACAAAUAAAUAGGCUUUUUCUGUAGAACAUAAAGCAGGGAUGUUUGAACGAUGCGUUAUUUGAAUUCCAUCUUAGUAGGAAGCCAUCCAUAAUAGGAGGAAGUUGAGGAAUAGGCCUAAUGUUCACAGUGGCACAGGUGGGGUUUGCAUCUGCCUUCAAUGUUCCUAUGAUACGAAUCCUCCACUGCAGAAAAUUCCUCGUGGAAUUUUCUAUUUUAUGUGUUAAACUUUAUCGAAAUCUUUUCCUGAUGUUUAUGUUUCUGUGAUAAUCAUUAUUAAACUGAAAAAUGCGGAAGAAAA
Molecule: long non-coding RNA, 3557 nt
Organism: Gorilla gorilla gorilla (western lowland gorilla)
Lineage: Eukaryota; Metazoa; Chordata; Mammalia; Primates; Hominidae
Exons: 10
Source: RefSeq, a predicted model, not a curated record